Molecule: ribosomal RNA, 200 nt
Filed under: uncultured bacterium
Lineage: Bacteria
Description: partial 16S ribosomal RNA
Rfam family: Bacterial small subunit ribosomal RNA
Source: RNAcentral
AUUGAACGCUGGCGGCAUGCCUUACACAUGCAAGUCGAACGGCAGCACGGGUGCUUGCACCUGGUGGCGAGUGGCGAACGGGUGAGUAAUACAUCGGAACAUGUCCUGUAGUGGGGGAUAGCCCGGCGAAAGCCGGAUUAAUACCGCAUACGAUCUACGGAUGAAAGCGGGGGACCUUCGGGCCUCGCGCUAUAGGGUUG